Molecule: ribosomal RNA, 532 nt
Filed under: uncultured bacterium
Lineage: Bacteria
Description: bacterial SSU rRNA
Rfam family: Bacterial small subunit ribosomal RNA
Source: RNAcentral
AGAGUUUGAUCCUGGCUCAGGACGAACGCUGGCGGCGUGCUUAACACAUGCAAGUGGAGCGACGAACCGGGCUUCGGCCCGGGGCAAAGCCGCGAACGGGUGAGUAUCACGUGGGUAACCUGCCCCGACGACCGGGACAACCCGAGGAAACUCGGGCUAAUACCGGAUGUGUUCUCAAUCCACCAGGGUUGAGAGCAAAGGAAGCUUCGGCCUCCGCAUCGGGAUGGGCCCGCGGCCCAUUAGCUUGUUGGUGAGGUAAAGGCUCACCAAGGCGACGAUGGGUAGCUGGUCUGAGAGGACGAUCAGCCACACUGGGACUGAGACACGGCCCAGACUCCUACGGGAGGCAGCAGUGGGGAAUCUUGCGCAAUGCGCGAAAGCGUGACGCAGCAACGCCGCGUGAGGGAAGAAGGCCUUCGGGUUGUAAACCUCUUUCAGGAGGGACGAAGGUUCAGGCGCGAAUAGCGUCCUGGACUGACGGUACCUCCAGAAGAAGCCCCGGCUAACUACGUGCCAGCCGCGGCGGUAAUAC